Molecule: ribosomal RNA, 409 nt
Filed under: Clostridioides difficile
Lineage: Bacteria; Bacillati; Bacillota; Clostridia; Peptostreptococcales; Peptostreptococcaceae
Description: bacterial LSU rRNA
Rfam family: Bacterial large subunit ribosomal RNA
Source: RNAcentral
AACCAGGAUGUUGGCUUAGAAGCAGCCACUCAUUCAAAGAGUGCGUAAUAGCUCACUGGUCGAGUGAUCCUGCGCCGAAGAUUUCCGGGGCUAAAACUUACUACCGAAGCUACGGCAUCAGUAAUGAUGGGUAGGGGAGCUUCCCAUACGGGUUGAAGCAUGACCGUAAGGACAUGUGGACAGUAUGGGAGUGAGAAUGUUGGCAUGAGUAGCGAGAUGUGGGUGAGAAUCCCACAGGCCGUAAACCUAAGGUUUCCAGGGGAAGGUUCGUCCGCCCUGGGUUAGUCGGGACCUAAGCUGAGGCCGAAAGGCGUAGGUGAUGGACAACAGGUUGAUAUUCCUGUACUACCGAUAACCGUUUGAGAGAAGGGAUGACACAGUAGGAUAAGCUAAGCACACUGUUGGUUAU